RNAcentral lists this ribosomal RNA (446 nucleotides) under uncultured bacterium. RNAcentral's name for it is "partial 16S ribosomal RNA". It matches the Rfam family "Bacterial small subunit ribosomal RNA", at positions 338 to 795 of the family's 1533-position model. The record is from RNAcentral.
CCUACGGGAGACAGCAGUCGAGAAUCAUUCACAAUGGGGGAAACCCUGAUGGUGCGACGCCGCGUGGGGGAAUGCAGGUCUUCGGAUUGUAAACCCCUGUCAUGUGGGAGCAAAUUAACAAGAUAGUACCACAAUAGGAAGAGCCGGCUAACUCUGUGCCAGCAGCCGCGGUAAUACAGAGGUCUCAAGCGUUGUUCGGAAUCACUGGGCGUAAGGCGUGCGUAGGCUGUUUCGUAAGUCGUGUGUGAAAGGCGCGGGCUCAACCCGCGGACGGCACAUGAUACUGCGAGACUAGAGUAAUGGAGGGGGAACCGGAAUUCUCGGUGUAGCAGGGAAAUGCGUAGAUAUCGAGAGGAACACUCGUGGCGAAGGCGGGUUCCUGGACAUUAACUGACGCUGAGGCACGAAGGCCAGGGGAGCGAAAGGGAUUAGAUACCCCAGUAGUC